RNAcentral lists this ribosomal RNA (471 nucleotides) under Fusarium oxysporum f. sp. cubense. RNAcentral's name for it is "eukaryotic LSU rRNA". The stretch from base 106 to 259 matches the Rfam family "5.8S ribosomal RNA". The record is from RNAcentral. Lineage: Eukaryota; Fungi; Ascomycota; Sordariomycetes; Hypocreales; Nectriaceae.
GCCUCGGCACGAACAGCCCGCUCCGGUAAAACGGGACGGCCCGCCAGAGGACCCCUAAACUCUGUUUCUAUAUGUAACUUCUGAGUAAAACCAUAAAUAAAUCAAAACUUUCAACAACGGAUCUCUUGGUUCUGGCAUCGAUGAAGAACGCAGCAGAAUGCGAUAAGUAAUGUGAAUUGCAGAAUUCAGUGAAUCAUCGAAUCUUUGAACGCACAUUGCGCCCGCCAGUAUUCUGGCGGGCAUGCCUGUUCGAGCGUCAUUUCAACCCUCAAGCACAGCUUGGUGUUGGGACUCGCGUUAAUUCGCGUUCCUCAAAUUGAUUGGCGGUCACGUCGAGCUUCCAUAGCGUAGUAGUAAAACCCUCGUUACUGGUAAUCGUCGCGGCCACGCCGCUAAACCCCAACUUCUGAAUGUUGACCUCGGAUCAGGUUGGAAUACCCGCUGAACUUACGCAAAUAAGAAACCGGAAGG